Long non-coding RNA from Oncorhynchus tshawytscha (Chinook salmon), 440 nucleotides. The record is from Ensembl. NCBI's taxonomy places the organism in Eukaryota, Metazoa, Chordata, Actinopteri, Salmoniformes, Salmonidae.
ACAGUGCAGAGUAAAGACCCAGUGUUGACAGUACAGAGUAAAGACCAGUGUUGACAGUGCAGAGUAAAGACCCGUGUUGACAGUGCGGAGUAAAACCCAGUGUUGACAGUCCGGAGUAAAACCCAGUGUUGACAGUGCAGAGUAAAGACCCAGGUUGACAGUCCGGAGUAAAACCCAGUGUUGACAGUGCAGAGUAAAGACCAGUGUUGACAGUGCAGAGUAAAGACCAGUGUUGACAGUGCAGAGUAAAGACCAGUGUUGACAGUCCGGAGUAAAACCCAGUGUUGACAGUGCAGAGUAAAACCCAGUGUUGACAGUGCAGAGUAAAGACCAGUGUUGACAGUCCGGAGUAAAACCCAGUGUUGACAGUGCAGAGGAAAACCCAGUGUUGACAGUGCAGAGUAAAGACCCAGUGUUGACAGUGCAGAGUAAAGACCCAG